GAUGAACGCUGGCGGCGUGCUUAACACAUGCAAGUCGAACGGAAAGGCCCAAGCUUGCUUGGGUACUCGAGUGGCGAACGGGUGAGUAACACGUGGGUGAUCUGCCCUGCACUUCGGGAUAAGCCUGGGAAACUGGGUCUAAUACCGGAUAGGACCACAUUUUGGAUGGUGUGGUGGAAAGUUUUUCGGUGUGGGAUGAGCUCGCGGCCUAUCAGCUUGUUGGUGGGGUAAUGGCCUACCAAGGCGUCGACGGGUAGCCGGCCUGAGAGGGUGUACGGCCACAUGGGGACUGAGAUACGGCCCAGACUCCUACGGGAGGCAGCAGAGGGGAAUAUUGCACAAUGGGCGCAAGCCUGAUGCAGCGACGCCGCGUGGGGGAUGACGGCGUUCGGGUUGUAAACUCCUUUCGCUAGGGACGAAGCGUUUUUGUGACGGUACCUGGAGAAGAAGCACCGGCUAACUACGUG
RNAcentral lists this ribosomal RNA (467 nucleotides) under uncultured bacterium. RNAcentral describes it as "partial 16S ribosomal RNA". It matches the Rfam family "Bacterial small subunit ribosomal RNA", at positions 28 to 507 of the family's 1533-position model. The record is from RNAcentral.